UAUGCAGAAAUUCUCCAGUGCACCAUCUGCUCAGGGCUUGUGGACAUCUGCGAGUUACCUCCCUGUGACAGGGAUACCUGAGAGCUGUGCGUCUCUAGCAUCCGCAACUAGCUGAAACAUUUCAAAGCUGACCACUGGUUUCUAGAGCAAAGCAAAGGUGUGAAGUCGGCCAGGCCCUCCUCAGAGGAUUAAGGGAAAUUGUCAAUUGGACUCGCAGCAGGAAUUAAUGCGGGGCAGCGCUGCGGCCAGCCGAGGCACUGUGUCAGGAGGGAUAAUCACAGCGGUCCCCUUCAGCUUGGCAAUUUCUGAAUCUCUGAAAAUAUCCAUCCAAGAUUUAAGUCUUCAGAAUGCACAUAUUCAAUCUUUAUUCUGAGCCUUUCAGGGAAUUAAAAAGACUCUGAGAUCUCCCUGUACUCUCCUGCCUCUGGUAGCUGCAGCUCCAAAGACGGUACCAGGAAUCAGAAGAGUUGGAAAAAUCACAAGGGGUCAGGGCUGGCUUAUCUGUCUGUGGUGGUUCAUUCUGUCUAUGCACGCUGCUGAGAAGAGAGGAGCAUUUCCUCCAGAGGUUUUAGCAUUCUGUAAGUAAAAUCAAUUGAUUUUUAGAUCAUGGUGCUGAGAGUUGAAAACCAGUUGGGAUGCAUUUUGUUUGACUUACUUAUUUAAAUAGCUCAUGCUGUUUGAAUACUUAUACUUGCCUUUUUAUUAGCUCACCCAUGUAGCAAUUUGUAUGUCUAUAUCUUGUGUCUUUGAAAAAAAAAAAGCAGCUGGCAUGUAGGGCUACAAGUAGGUAUUAGCCAACAUCUGAUGUAGAGAGAGUCGAUGUUAUGGCCUCCUAACCCAAGCAGGGCACAAAACCCUAAGCUCCUCAGGUACCACUGGGACAUUUUGCCAUUCUUGCCAGCCAUUCUCAUGGCUGAGUUCUCCUGUGGUUGGUGUCUUUUGGGCUGUCAAGGGCACCAGUACCACCACUGCACUGUGGUUAUGUUGCAAUAACCCCGCACACUGCUAUAAUAGCUAAACUGUGAAGGGCAAGGUCACCUCUGGUACUUGCAAAGCCAAUUAGGACUUACAGAGCACUAAACUCCGAUUUCUUCAAGCCAUUUCAUUUUAUUGAUCAGACACAUUUUUAUUUCCAGAUUACUCACUCUUGGGAAUCAUCCAGGUUUCAUAGUGCGAAGGACUGUGUAAAAUGUAAUGAUUCAGCACUCCCAGUGUGGCUGUCUGUGGGUUUUGUUAACCUUGCAAGCUACAUUUAAGAUGCAAGACAGGGCUUGAAGAGCACCAUUAUAUAUCUGAUGCUCUUCUGAAAGAGCUCUCCAAUUUGCAUUUCCUUCCUGUCCUCUUUAAAAUCAAAACGCAUCCUUCACCUCUUUCUUGGUUAAAUCCUAGGAUUUUCCUGGAGGGGAGAUCCCCAGCACGUAAGAGAGUUCAGCAAUUCAGACAGUGCAUGGACUGAUGCUUAACUCUUCUUCCAAAAAUACCUCUACAGGUUGGGAAGUUUUUCCCUAUGGCUAAUGGGUCUCAGAUCAGACAGGUGGCACUUCCGCCGAGGGGCUGGAGCUGAGCCUUGCCCACAGAAAGUGCAGCAUGUACGCUGUCACUGCUUCUUUACCAGCCUCGUGAGUUCUGGCUCUAGGCACACACAGGCAUUUUUUGGAGACUCUGACAUGAGCAAAACAUCUUUACUGGCAAUUUAAUGCCUUUUUGCACAGGGAAGUUAUGUUCUUUUUGCCUCAACUGAGUAAGAGUCUUAAAAUCUAAAGAAAGGAAAUACAGUAAUUCUAUAUCUAUAGAGAGAAAUAUACAGUAAAUGCGUUAGUAUGUUGUGCAAUAAAAAGAGCCCUCAUGUCUUAUAAAUACAGGCACUUGGUUUACCAUGUGCAUGCAGUCAGUCCUCCAGUAUCCACAAGCUGCUCAAAGGGCACACAGCUGCGCAGGUCUGAAGCCACUGAAGCCGCCUUUGUAUGUGAUUCCCCCACUUGCUGAGACAUCUUGGACUGAGAAUGACUCUGAGAAGAGCCACUGUCAUUGCCCUGGCCCUGGGUGUAUUGGGGGAUGCAGGGCAGUGAGACCUGUGCUGCCUCUGCAUGGAGCUGGUUUAUGUUCAAAACAGUAGCAGCCAUUCUCAUUACUCUAGGUAACACAGAAAUCCCUCUUACACCGCUGAUGAUACACAGAUUGCCUGGAUAUUGGGAGCAGCAACAGAGACAGGUGGUUGUAGAGUGACAGCUGAAUCAUCUUUGUGUGAGGCAUCUGCAUAAAUAUCUGCAGAGCUGAGAGGGUUGGACUAUCUGCAGAGUUAUUCUCCUAACCAAGCUGGCUGUGCUUUCGAGGCUUACAGGUUUCCCUUGCUGUGUAGCCAAGUAGUCCUACAGUCCCCUGAAAUUUGGCUGAUGGAAAUCCAUGCUAUCACACUUCAUUACAGGAUGACCAGGGACAGGCAUGGGGAGAAAAAGCUAGGCUGGUUGCAAAUGCCUCAUUUCCUUCAGAAAUCAGACACAUGCACACACAUAGGCUGGCUGCGAGCAGCUCUGAGUAUAUGCGAGAUGAGAAUGGUGGCCUGUAAAGUCAAACAAGAGCAGGGUGCUGAGAGCUGCUUAGAUAUAGAGCCUUUCCUCAGCAGCGGCCAGCCUGAAUUUUGUGGAUUUCCAUGGUUUUUCUUUUCAGUCUUCAGUCAUGAUCUCCUCUGAUGUUAUUAUGGCUGUGGCUGCUCGUCUCCCCUUCCCCAGCCCAUGCAAGUUCAUCCCAGGGAAGCACCAAGCCAAGAGCUUGCACAAAGCCAGCCGGGCUCUUGCGGGACUGCUGGCACUGGGCUCUCUGCAAGACCACAGGCCACCUCUCCUCUGGAAAAAAGUACCACCAGUGCCUUGAAUUUGAUGUGAGAUGUUGUAUUUCUGUACAUCACAGAAACCUAGGAAUUGGACAUUUAGUUGAGUGGCAAGUUCAAAUUGCAAAUUACCACACUUUACAAGUAUUAUUCCCCUGGCUUUGCUUACAAGGCAAGGAAGAACCGAUGCAAACAGAUUUCUCCCUUUGCUUGCCUGAGGAACUCAUUCCUCCUUCAAAACUCUGUUUCAAAUUUUUUUUGAGAAACAACACCUCCAAAUAGUAGAGGAUAUAUCAGGAAAUAUGAGAAGAUUUCUGUGGAAUCAUCAUGUUGUCACAUUCCCAGUUCACCUCCUUGCCUCAGAUUCCCUUUGUUCCCCCUCCAUCCUCCCACCAGCCUCCCUGUUUGUUCUUUUUCCUUUUGACUGCCCACUUUCACAUUUGUUUCGGCUUUCCUUCAGUCUUUUAAUACUGUAUCUAUUCCUUGAAUUUACUGUGGUUUGACAUUCUGUUUCAUGAGUCACUGUUGGGGAUAGAGUUUGAAGCAGAUCAAAUCACACAAACUAGUUCUUACAGCUCCCUACAACUAGUUCGAAGUCAUACUCUUUUUUUUCUCCCCAAUAAACCAUUGUGGAUUCUUUUCUCCACACACACACCCCCAAAUGAUGAUGAAGUAAAUACACAUAUUUAUUGCAUGUGGUGAUGACUAUAUGCCAGUGGAGGGGACCCACAACUUUCUUCCUUUUCCCUUUGCAUGGGAGCUGAGCUAACACACCACAGAAAGUCUGAAUCAUGUCUUCUUCCUCAGGUUUCUCUAAAGCUUUUUUCCCCCAAUUAAUUUAACUUUAUGACCUGCAGCGAGGAAAUUCAGUGGUACCAAACUGAGUAUGCAUCCCCAUUUACAUCUUUCCUAGUGAAAUGCUGCAUGGCAGCAACACUGAGUCCCCAGCACUUCUCUGGCUGAAAGUUACUUUUCCCCACCUUUUCUUCCUUCAUGAUUUAAUUCUACUCGUUUUCUUCAACACAGUAGGAAUAAUGCUGGUGCUUAGAGGAAUGAAUGCUCACCAGACAGCAACUAAAUUCUCCAUACAACUCCACUUUGCUUUGGUGUUUAAUCACCUUCAGAAAUUGUUCCUAAGCUUGUAUAUGCUACUAAGAACAUUAGUCUUUAAAUAACUUUGUGCUAUGGUGGUGUGAGAUGAUUAGGUUGGCAAAGAUUUCUGUUGUGGUGUCAUCAUAAUUUUCAUUAGUACAGUGAAUUAUGACAGCUUGUUCUCUGCUCAAAUUGAUGUGAUUACUACUCUGAAACCCUGGCACAUUUCACUAACACCUGACAUCUGGAAGAGAAAGGUGGGAGGCAAAGCAAGCUCUCAAAGUUGCUGCAUGAUACCCAUUGAUGGUCUCCUCGUUUGUUCCAGCAGCUGCUGCAGCCAAGGGUAAUAGCCUUUGUUGGUCAGUAGAGCUAAUGCAAUUUUUGCAAUGAUAAAACAAAUAGCUCUUGUGAUUAGCAAUGGAAAAUACCAUCAAACGAUGUGUAGCACUGAAUAGGCAGUGACUGGAAUUAGCAGUACAGCCCUAUUUAAACUAAGGUAAUGUGUCAGAAGUGGUGGGUGGAUGAGUUGGAGAGCUAUUUUAAAAAGAACAGAAAGCAUGCAUCAAGUGUACAUCAGAUUGAAGACCCAUAUCAGAACAGAAAUUAUUGUUAUAGCUUGUUAAAUGGAAAAUUGUUCUACCAGCAAAUCUGUGAAGGGGUGACAUUCUACCUUAUCUAACAAAGGAUAAAUGCCAGCCCUUGCAUGAUCGCGGUCCCUGGCAGCCUGGCACUGCACAAGUGACAUUGCUUCUGCAGGAGCCUGGUGCAGCACAGCUCUGCUUUGCGCCCAGCUGCAAAGGGGGAGACAGAUGUACCUGCUCUUCUCUGGUAUGGACACAGCUCAGCAGGACGCCGUGACCUGAAUGGGAACAGCCAGCAUCUCAUCCUUGUUCUCCCUUUAAGGGAGGCCAGUGACACUGUCAGAUCGGUUUUCACACUGUAGCUGCUUGCAGGAGCCCCUUGGAAUGGGAUGGCAGCAAGGGCUGCCCAGUGAGGCCAGGGGUGCCACAGCCCUGUCCAUGACCCUCAACAGCCUGCAGUUCCCCAGUGUGCAUCCAGUGCUGCUGAUGAAAAAUGAUGCUGUGUUGUUGUUUAACCCCAGCCAGCAACUAAGCACCACAGAGGUGCUUGCUCACACUCCAGGUCCCCGGGUGGGAUGGGGGAGACCAUUAGAAGAGUAAAAGUGAGAAAACUCAUGGGCUGAGACAGUGUAGACAAGACUGUCAGAUCACUGCCUUGGCAGAAUAAUCUGCUCUGACACUGAGGAAACCACUGUAUGGGUAAAACUGGGCCCUGACCCAGCCAAAGACAUGCAUGAGCGUGAAACACCAGCACUGCUGCCGCAAGACCUGGGGACCCUGGAUGUACCACACAAGACACCGCUGCCUGGGGACUUGGCUGGCACUGUGCAUCUCCGAAGUCCAAGUGCCUUCAUGCAACUUUUGUGCAUGAGCUGUCACUGUAUGAAGAAAACCCCAAAAAACCCAGGUGGUGUGGUCUUCUUUGAAGACAGUGUCUUAGGCUGCUGGUAACAACCAUGCCUGUGUUGGGCUGUGCUGCAGACACCGGGGAGGCUUGCAAAGGGCCUUGGCAGUGCAUCCAGCUCUUGGCA
Phalacrocorax carbo (great cormorant) is the source of this 5531-nucleotide non-coding RNA. The record is from RefSeq and is a predicted model, not a curated record. NCBI's taxonomy places the organism in Eukaryota, Metazoa, Chordata, Aves, Suliformes, Phalacrocoracidae.